AUCCCUUCUCGGCCUUUUGGCUAAGAUCAAGUGUAGGAUCUGUUCUUAUCAGUUUAACUAAAGUACUUCUUACCUGUUAUGACCACUGAAAUUUUAAAAAAUGACUUGAAUUUUUUAGAAAAGUUUUAGAUUUAUCGAAAACCUGCAAAGAUAGCACAGAGA
RNAcentral lists this small nuclear RNA (162 nucleotides) under Ursus americanus (American black bear). Its description in RNAcentral is "U2 spliceosomal RNA". It matches the Rfam family "U2 spliceosomal RNA". From Rfam's summary of the family: U2 is a small nuclear RNA (snRNA) component of the spliceosome (involved in pre-mRNA splicing). Complementary binding between U2 snRNA (in an area lying towards the 5' end but 3' to hairpin I) and the branchpoint sequence (BPS) of the intron results the bulging out of an unpaired adenosine, on the BPS, which initiates a nucleophilic attack at the intronic 5' splice site, thus starting the first of two transesterification reactions that mediate splicing. The record is from Rfam by way of RNAcentral. RNAcentral also lists the same sequence under 1 other name. Lineage: Eukaryota; Metazoa; Chordata; Mammalia; Carnivora; Ursidae.